Molecule: long non-coding RNA, 1140 nt
Organism: Zingiber officinale
Lineage: Eukaryota; Viridiplantae; Streptophyta; Magnoliopsida; Zingiberales; Zingiberaceae
Exons: 5
Source: RefSeq, a predicted model, not a curated record
GGCUGCCAGCGCGACUUUCUUCUUCGACUGCACGAUUUCUUCUUCGACUGCACGAUUUCUUCUCCGGCUCCACGUGAUCUUCUUCUUCGGUCCCAAAUCAAGCACAACUCUAAGGCAGGCAUGACUCUGACUUAAGGGGCAAGCAAUCUUCUUCUCUAGUCCCAAAUCACGCACGACUCUAAGGCACACAACGCUCCGGCUUAAGGCGCACACGAUCUUCUUCUCCAGAGUUAUUUCCACGAUCCAUCGAACAAGCUCAAGUUCAGGAAAUAUGUCUACAAAUCAUAAUUGGAUGUGGCAUCAAAAUAUCUUCAUCGUGAGUUUAUUGAUGAGGUAGACUGGGGAUAUGAGGUUGAUGGAGGUGACAGCAAGGUCAGGGACGUCAGCAGAUAAAGUCUCAGCUUACACUUGCUUGGUCGAGGAUAACCCCAUUGCAAAUAUGAGGGCAUUCGAUUCCCUUUUGUCUAUAGUGACAUCGAAGGAAGGGAAAUGCUAUGCAUUUACUAGCUUUGAAGCACUGAAGGAGUUGUUCCUUUUAAGAAAAAAGAUUUGGGAUGAAUUUGAGGUGUUUGAAUGAAUGCAUAAAAGAAAACAAGGUAUUGGAGAGUUUGUGGAUAACAAAUCGGCAUGAGUUAGUGAACAAUAUAAAGAGAGACAGGAUGUUGAUGAUCAGUCUACUCAGUCUUCAUUAAAUCUCAAGUUAUGGUGUGAUGUGGUGGACGACCCAUGCAAGGGGAAGGUGUACGGAUUUGGAUGCAAUCAACACUUUAGAAGAUCAUUUAAUGGAAGUUCCAAUGAAAUGUGCUCCAAGAACAAGGAAUUAUCUCAAGAAAUUGAAGACAUGCAUACUACUAGCAAAAGGAUGGAGGAAGAAAUUACUGAAAGCAAAAAUAAAUUAGAACUCAUUGUCAAAGAAAAUAGACAGAUGGAAGAACAACUAAUCCAGGAAGGUAGACAAAGAGAAAAAAAAUCUAAAGGGGAUGGUUCGUAAAAUGAUUCAAGAGGUGGAAUAUACAAAUCAUUUAUAUCCAAGAAGAUCUGGUCCCCGUGAGCGUCGUGACAAGUGAAAUAAAGAUUAAAUUACUUUAUCUUUGAUUAAUGGUUAAAUGUAUUUAGAUGAUGUGAAUAUUUAUAUAUUUC